UUCGCAAUGCCCGAAAGGGUGACGAAGCGACGCCGCGUGGGUGAGGAAGGCCCUCGGGUUGUAAAGCCCUGUCAGGAGUUAAGAAAUGUAGGUACGCUAAUAUCGUAUCUAUUUGACAAAGGCUCCAAAGGAAGCCACGGCUAACUCUGUGCCAGCAGCCGCGGUAAUACAGAGGUGGCAAGCGUUGUUCGGAAUUAUUGGGCGUAAAGAGCACGUAGGUGGAUUUGUAAGUCAGAUGUGAAAGCCUUCUGUUCAACGGAAGAAUUGCAUCUGAAACUACAAACCUUGAGUAUAGGAGGGGAGAAUGGAACUUCUGGUGGAGCGGUGAAAUGCGUAGAUAUCAGAAGGAACGCCGGCGGCGAAAGCGAUUCUCUGGCCUAUUACUGACACUCAGUGUGCGAAAGCUAGGGGAGCAAACGGGAUUAGAUACCCCGGUAGUCCUAGCCGUAAACGAUGGGCACUAAGUAGAGGGGUUUU
Molecule: ribosomal RNA, 477 nt
Filed under: Candidatus Scalindua brodae
Lineage: Bacteria; Pseudomonadati; Planctomycetota; Candidatus Brocadiia; Candidatus Brocadiales; Candidatus Scalinduaceae
Description: bacterial SSU rRNA
Rfam family: Bacterial small subunit ribosomal RNA
Source: RNAcentral